Long non-coding RNA from Thalassophryne amazonica, 1218 nucleotides. RefSeq lists it as uncharacterized. The transcript has 2 exons. Lineage: Eukaryota; Metazoa; Chordata; Actinopteri; Batrachoidiformes; Batrachoididae. The record is from RefSeq and is a predicted model, not a curated record.
GAAGGGCCGAGACACUGCAGGUUUUCCUUACAACCAAUCACCUCAGCAGGUGAUUUAAUUGACGAUCAGGUAUUUAUGUUCAGGGGAGAAGCCCAUCAGCAAUCCACCUGCUGAGGUGAUUGGUUGUAAGGAAAACCUGCAGUGUCUCGGCCCUCGCUGCCCACCCCUGCUCUAGACUAUAAUUGGACUUGUAAGUGAAAAAACUGGGAUGCAAUAGUAGUUAUGUUGUACCUACAUAUUAAAUUUUGCAGAGUAAAAUAUACUCUGCUUGCAUAACAGUUGGUCCCAGUCCAAAUAGAGUUAAAUAUGCUCUAUGACAGUGCUAAAUCAAUUCCAUCACAGGGUAAAAUCAACUCUAUCGUGCUGUGAGUGACUUACUGGAGUUGAAAACUGUGAUUUGACAAGACCAUAGAGCUGAUUUCACUCUAUAAUAGAGUGUAUUCAACUGUAUUUGGACUGGGACCAAAUGUUAUGCUGGCAGAGUAUAUUUUACUCUGCAAAAUUUACUGUGGAGUAUAUCAGUAUGUUAUAUAUCACAAUAAAGCAUAUCCAGAUUAAACGUGUCUUAAAUACCAAAGAAACAACAGCAGAAAACUGCAGUGUACCCCUUAUACUUACUGGCUGAAAGAUUGAGCCAACCUGUAGUAUUGGUACUCUCAGAUAUGUGCCUCUGCAUCCCUAAUUUUUUUUUUUUUCAGUUACAGUUCAUAUUUGAGAGGCCCAAGGCUUCAAAAAAAAAAAAAAAAUCCCUUGGUUUGUUAAUUUGUUUGUGCAGGGGGCGGUGAAUCACAUCGCCCCUUCCAAGCCGAUUGUGUUUUAUUAUUCGAAGAAGUACAUUGAAUGAAUGAGCACCUUCAGUGGAUUAUUUUACUACGUUUGCAGUCUGUGCAUCUUAUUCCCCAUUAGCACAAGUGUCUAGUGUCUCCUCGAUUGCACAGCCGCAUCCUGAGUGAGUGAUACAAUGCGUUUUCACAGCUUACAUCUGAAUCCAGGCUGAGGGACAUUCACUCCGCCUGUAAAACUUUGUCGUAGUCCACUUUGUAUUCCUCCUGUGUGAGGCGCAGAGCAUGUGACGAUGCCUUUUUUUCAUGCUUCGUGAUUUCAGUUUGAGCAUUAAGAUGUUUGAUCAGCUUCACUGAUUUUUGCCUUGCAAGUGAGAGUUUGCUAAAUGUAUUUUACCUGUUAACAUCACAGAAUAAAAUACAUUUAUGUGGUUAA